RNAcentral lists this ribosomal RNA (497 nucleotides) under uncultured bacterium. Its description in RNAcentral is "partial 16S ribosomal RNA". It matches the Rfam family "Bacterial small subunit ribosomal RNA", at positions 28 to 507 of the family's 1533-position model. The record is from RNAcentral.
GAUGAACGCUGGCGGCGUGCCUAAUACAUGCAAGUCGAGCGAACAGACGAGGAGCUUGCUCCUCUGGCGUUAGCGGCGGACGGGUGAGUAACACGUGGAUAACCUACCUAUAAGACUGGGAUAACUUCGGGAAACCGGAGCUAAUACCGGAUAAUAUAUUGAACCGCAUGGUUCAAUAGUGAAAGACGGUUUUGCUGUCACUUAUAGAUGGAUCCGCGCCGCAUUAGCUAGUUGGUAAGGUAACGGCUUACCAAGGCAACGAUGCGUAGCCGACCUGAGAGGGUGAUCGGCCACACUGGAACUGAGACACGGUCCAGACUCCUACUGGAGGCAGCAGUAGGGAAUCUUCCGCAAUGGGCGAAAGCCUGACGGAGCAACGCCGCGUGAGUGAUGAAGGUCUUCGGAUCGUAAAACUCUGUUAUUAGGGAAGAACAAAUGUGUAAGUAACUAUGCACGUCUUGACGGUACCUAAUCAGAAAGCCACGGCUAACUACGUG